RNAcentral lists this ribosomal RNA (562 nucleotides) under uncultured Glomus. RNAcentral's name for it is "eukaryotic LSU rRNA". The stretch from base 160 to 313 matches the Rfam family "5.8S ribosomal RNA". Lineage: Eukaryota; Fungi; Glomeromycota; Glomeromycetes; Glomerales; Glomeraceae. The record is from RNAcentral.
GGAAGUAAAAGUCGUAACAAGGUUUCCGUAGGUGAACCUGCGGAAGGAUCAUUACUGAUUUAGCGAACCGAGCGUUAGCGAGGUUUUGCGAUCACUUAUAUUUAAAACCCACUCUUUGAACGUAUAAAAUUUUAUGUAUUAAUGAUAAAAAUAAAAGAUCACUUUCAACAACGGAUCUCUUGGCUCUCGCAUCGAUGAAGAACGUAGCGAAGUGCGAUAAGUAAUGUGAAUUGCAGUAUUCCGUGAAUCAUCGAAUCUUUGAACGCAUAUUGCACUUUCUGGUAUUCCGGAAAGUAUGCCUGUUUGAGGGUCAGUUAAAUAAAAAUCGGUGUUGUUGCUGCCUUUCGUGGUGACGCGUCGGAAUUGAGUUGUCUUACCUUCGGUUAAGUGACUUAAAAUUUUGUAUGAUUUUUGAACGUAUUUAAAUUUAUUUGUACGUUUGAGAUAUCGAAUAUUUAUUAGGUUCGGUCAUUCUAACGACUCGUGCCUAUAAUUUUUCAUUAAAUGACCUCAAAUCAGGUAAGAAUACCCGCUGAACUUAAGCAUAUCAAUAAGCGGAGGA